Molecule: ribosomal RNA, 1113 nt
Filed under: Triticum aestivum (bread wheat)
Lineage: Eukaryota; Viridiplantae; Streptophyta; Magnoliopsida; Poales; Poaceae
Description: partial small subunit ribosomal RNA
Source: RNAcentral
AUGAGAGGGAAGAAAGCAAAGGUAGUGGAGGGGAAUGCUCAGCUGCUCUGCAGUGAUGCGCUCACCGAGGUCUUCCACAGGCUGCCUGCCCGCACCCUCGCUUCUUGCAGGAUGGUAUGCAAAUCCUGGAUGUCAUUGCUUUCCGAUGUGCAUUUUGUUCACGAGCACCUGAACCGAAGCCAGCAGAAGUUGCUGCUCUUUGCAAAUGACAGAGCAAAUGAUAGGUCUCUUGCCAUGGUGCUCGCAGACGCCAAUGGAUACAUGUACCAGCUGUCUAGGCCCUUGGUUGCUCAGACCCUGUUUGUGCACAACUCUUGCAACGGCCUGCUCUGCCUAGGUGACAGUAAAGGAGCAGUGGAGUUGCUCAACCCGACAACCGGUGAAUCUCUUGUGUUGCCGAAGCCAAUGUACACUGCAGGAAGCAGCCAAUUCUCAUCAUGCAACUGGCACUGCUUGGGGUUUUGCCCGUCAACUAAGCAACACAAGAUUGCACAUUUUUACCCGGGAGCUCAUGCUGGUUCUCUCGAGGUGCUCUGCGAGAUAUACACAAUUGGAGAUAGAGACUGGAGACAAAUUGGGAGUCUCCGUGGGGCACCAAUUGAUAGAGGUAUACAUGUGAAUGGUUCAGUGUAUUAUUUGACAAGGUUCCGUUAUAUCUCUUCAUCACGUAUCAAUUGUUUGGAUCUUCAACGUGAAAAGUUUGAUGUCUUAAUGCUUCCUCCACGCAAGACCUAUGGAGGGCAUUGUUCUUUGUCUGAGCUCGAGGGAAAACUAUGUUUGUUAGUUGUGGAUGGUGCGCUUGAAGGUAUACCUCGUACAAUGGACAUAUUAAUGCUCGAUAACGAUGAUAAGCAGAGUUGGACUCAUAGAUACCACAUAUCUUUGCCUCCGUUGAUGCAAUCAUGUUAUUUCACUCCAAGACACACACUUUUUCAUGAUUCCAAAAUUUGGGUGCAGUUGUUUGCUCGGAACCUAUACUGCUAUGAUCCAAAUUCAAACUCUGAGGAAUUGGAGAUUGCCUGUCCAGAAUCUGAGUUUCCUUUCAGCAUUCAUACGUUUGUUGAAAGUAUAAUUCCUCUGCGUCAAGAUAAUUUCAUCAAGAAGAUACAGUGA